RNAcentral lists this transfer RNA (69 nucleotides) under Ictidomys tridecemlineatus (thirteen-lined ground squirrel). RNAcentral describes it as "Spermophilus tridecemlineatus (thirteen-lined ground squirrel) tRNA". It matches the Rfam family "tRNA". Rfam says of the family: Transfer RNA (tRNA) molecules are approximately 80 nucleotides in length. Their secondary structure includes four short double-helical elements and three loops (D, anti-codon, and T loops). The record is from Rfam by way of RNAcentral. Lineage: Eukaryota; Metazoa; Chordata; Mammalia; Rodentia; Sciuridae.
GGGGUUGUGGCUCAAUGGUAGAGCACUCACCUAGCAUGUGUUAGGCCCUGGGUUCAAUCCUCAGCACCA